GACGAACGCUGGCGGCGUGCUUAACACAUGCAAGUCGAACGGUAAGGCCCUUCGGGGUACACGAGUGGCGAACGGGUGAGUAACACGUGGGUGAUCUGCCCUGCACUUCGGGAUAAGCCUGGGAAACUGGGUCUAAUACCGGAUAGGACCACUGCCUGCAUGGGUGGUGGUGGAAAGCUUUUGCGGUGUGGGAUGGGCCCGCGGCCUAUCAGCUUGUUGGUGGGGUGAUGGCCUACCAAGGCGACGACGGGUAGCCGGCCUGAGAGGGUGACCGGCCACACUGGGACUGAGAUACGGCCCAGACUCAUACGGGAGGCAGCAGUGGGGGAUAUUGCACAAUGGGCGCAAGCCCGAUGCAGCGACGCCGCGUGAGGGAUGACGGCCUUCGGGUUGUAAACCUCUUUCAGCACCGACGAAGCGCAAGUGACGGUAGGUGCAGAAGAAGGACCGGCCAACUACGUGCCAGCAGCCGCAGUA
This 477-nucleotide ribosomal RNA is filed under the name uncultured bacterium. RNAcentral's name for it is "partial 16S ribosomal RNA". It matches the Rfam family "Bacterial small subunit ribosomal RNA", at positions 28 to 522 of the family's 1533-position model. The record is from RNAcentral.